CAUGGGGUAAAGGGGCCUCUGCUUCAAGCUACCACACCAAGAUGAGCCCGCGUCUCAUUAGCUAGUUGGUAGGGUAAUGGCCUACCAAGGCUACGAUGAGUAGCUGGUCUGAGAGGAUGACCAGCCACACUGGGACUGGAACACGGCCCAGACUCCUACGGGAGGCAGCAGUGGGGAAUAUUGCGCAAUGGGCGAAAGCCUGACGCAGCGACGCCUCGUGAGGGAUGAAGGUCUUCGGAUCGUAAACCUCUGUCAAGAGGGAAGAAACCCUUGGGUUCAAAUAGGGCCCUUGGCUGACGGUACCUCAAAAGGAAGCACCGG
This 321-nucleotide ribosomal RNA is filed under the name uncultured delta proteobacterium. RNAcentral's name for it is "bacterial SSU rRNA". It matches the Rfam family "Bacterial small subunit ribosomal RNA", at positions 195 to 496 of the family's 1533-position model. The record is from RNAcentral. Lineage: Bacteria; Deltaproteobacteria.